RNAcentral lists this ribosomal RNA (1412 nucleotides) under uncultured bacterium. RNAcentral's name for it is "partial 16S ribosomal RNA". It matches the Rfam family "Bacterial small subunit ribosomal RNA". The record is from RNAcentral.
AGAGUUUGAUCCUGGCUCAGAACGAACGCUGGCGGCGUGCCUAACACAUGCAAGUCGUACGAGAAAAUCCGCUUCGGCGGGUGAGUAGAGUGGCGCACGGGUGAGUAACGCGUGGAUAAUCUGCCUUUAAGCUGGGAAUAACUCACCGAAAGGUGGGCUAAUACCCGAUAAUGCUAUGGGACUUCGGUUUUAUAGCCAAAGAGAGCCUCUACAUGUAAGCCUUCACUUAAAGAUGAGUCCGCGUACCAUUAGCUAGUUGGUAGGGUAAUGGCCUACCAAGGCGACGAUGGCUAGGGGGUCUGAGAGGAUGGUCCCCCACACUGGUACUGAGACACGGACCAGACUCCUACGGGAGGCAGCAGUGAGGAAUAUUGGUCAAUGGGCGGAAGCCUGAACCAGCCAUGCCGCGUGCGGGAUGAAGGCCCUACGGGUUGUAAACCGCUUUUCCCCGGGAAGAAUAAGCCCCCCGCGGGGGGUGAUGCCGGUACCGGGGGAAUAAGGAUCGGCUAACUCCGUGCCAGCAGCCGCGGUAAUACGGAGGAUCCGAGCGUUAUCCGGAUUUACUGGGUUUAAAGGGUGCGUAGGCGGCCCUGCAAGUCAGCGGUGAAAUGUGGCGGCUCAACCGUUUCGCUGCCGCUGAUACUGUGGGGCUUGGAUGCGGUCGAGGCGGGUGGAAUUCGUGGUGUAGCGGUGAAAUGCAUAGAUAUCACGAGGAACGCCGAUAGCGAAGGCAGCUCGCCGGGCCGCGAUCGACGCUGAGGCACGAAAGCGUGGGGAUCAAACAGGUCUAGAUCCCCUGGUAGUCCCCGCGGUGAACGGUGAAGACUAGGAGUGGGAGGAGUAAGCUUUGCCGACUCGAAGAUAAGCGGUUAAGUAUUCGGCGUGUGAAGUGCGGCCGCAGGGUUGAAAAUCAAAGGAACUGAGGGGGGUCCGCACAAGUGGUGGCGCAUGUGGGUUAAUUUGAUGCCACGCGAAUACCUGUUGUUUGGGUUUGACAUGGUGAGUACCCGAUGGAAACAUUGGGGUACCCCGUAAGGGGAGGUGGGACACAGGUGGUGCAUGGCUAUCGUGAGCUCGUGCCGUGAGGUGUUGGGUUAAGUCCCGCAACGAGCGCAUCCCUCACCCUUAGUUGCCAUCAUUAAAUGGAGCACCCUAAGGGAGCUGCCACAGUUAAUGCGGAGGAAGGUGGGGAUGACGUCAAGUCCUCAUGGCCCUUAUAUCCAGGGCUACACACGUGCUACAAUGGACGGUACAAAGGGUCGCGAACCUGUAAGGGGGAGCUAACCCCAGAAAACCGCUCUCAGUUCGGAUUGGAGUGUGCAACCCGACUCCAUGAAGUGGGAAUCGCUAGUAAUCGCGGAUCAGAACGCCGCGGUGAAUACGAAACCGGGCCUUGUACUCGCCGCCCGUCA